UUUAUGGAGAGUUUGAUCCUGGCUCAGGAUGAACGCUGGCGGCGUGCCUAAUACAUGCAAGUCGAGCGAACGGACGAGAAGCUUGCUUCUCUGAUGUUAGCGGCGGACGGGUGAGUAACACGUGGAUAACCUACCUAUAAGACUGGGAUAACUUCGGGAAACCGGAGCUAACACCGGAUAAUAUUUUGAACCGCAUGGUUCAAAAGUGAAAGACGGUCUUGCUGUCACUUAUAGAUGGAUCCGCGCUGCAUUAGCUAGUUGGUAAGGUAA
Molecule: ribosomal RNA, 270 nt
Filed under: Staphylococcus aureus
Lineage: Bacteria; Bacillati; Bacillota; Bacilli; Caryophanales; Staphylococcaceae
Description: partial 16S ribosomal RNA
Rfam family: Bacterial small subunit ribosomal RNA
Source: RNAcentral